RNAcentral lists this non-coding RNA (23 nucleotides) under Xenopus tropicalis (tropical clawed frog). Lineage: Eukaryota; Metazoa; Chordata; Amphibia; Anura; Pipidae. RNAcentral also lists the same sequence under 2 other names. The record is from RNAcentral.
GCAUUGGUGGUUCAGUGGUAGAA